UUGAAAAGAAUUUCGAAGUAAAAGACUAUGUUUUACUCCGAAACUGGGGGGCAUGUGUUGACGCCAGAUUUCGUCACUAGUGAAAUCGGCGUCAGGAGGAGAGGAAAUGGGAAAGUACAGUUGGAGAUCGGUUGGUUGGCACUACAGUCCAAGAUCGGCUAGAUGCUACAGUACGGGAUCGGCCGAUGAUUUCUGCCUUGCUUAACCCUUGGGGUUCGGAUCGGACACGUCUGAUUCCCGAAUCGGUUACCCUUUGCCGAUAAGGAAUCAGCCGAUUAGGGGGCUGGAAUAAUUGGGCCGGUAUGGGCUUGGGAAGGAUCGGAAGGAUGAAGAGGAAAUCAGCCCAUGAAGUGUAUAAUAACCAACCUAGUAAGAAUCGUGCUUGUAAAUAUUUGUUUUCUAUUUGAAUUAGGGAUAGAGUUCUAAUCAGUUAAGGAGUCAUCUGUACGGGGCUAUAAAUAGCUACCUUUGUAAAUCUGUAAUCAUAAACAAAUCAAUACAACCAACUACUAUUUCCUCGUACUUACUUUCAAGCAGGCGACUUCGCCAAAUACUUUCUCCUUUUUCACGAGUUCGUACGGGUUGGCAGGGCUGCAUCAACUUGAUCUCCGGCCGAUCUUGUAAGUUCCGUUUACCGAGUAAAUUCUAAGCUUUA
RNAcentral lists this long non-coding RNA (655 nucleotides) under Setaria viridis. RNAcentral describes it as "long non-coding RNA (SVIR_LNC007764)". The record is from RNAcentral. Lineage: Eukaryota; Viridiplantae; Streptophyta; Magnoliopsida; Poales; Poaceae.